RNAcentral lists this unclassified non-coding RNA (378 nucleotides) under plant metagenome. RNAcentral describes it as "partial contains 5.8S ribosomal RNA, internal transcribed spacer 2, and large subunit ribosomal RNA". The stretch from base 1 to 105 matches the Rfam family "5.8S ribosomal RNA", at positions 50 to 154 of the family's 154-position model. The record is from RNAcentral.
GAAAUGCGAUAAGUAAUGUGAAUUGCAGAAUUCAGUGAAUCAUCGAAUCUUUGAACGCACCUUGCGCUCCUUGGUAUUCCUUGGAGCAUGCCUGUUUGAGUAUCAUGAAAUCUUCAAAGUAAAUCUUUUGUUAACUCAAUUGGUUUCUACUUUGGUAUUGGAGGUCUUUGCAGCUUCACACCUGCUCCUCUUUGUUCAUUAGCUGGAUAUCAGUGUUAUGCUUGGUUCCACUCGGCGUGAUAAGUUAUCUAUCGCUGAGGACACUGUAAAAGGUGGCCAAGGUAAAUGCAGAUGAACCGCUUCUAAUAGUCCAUUGACUUGGACAAUACUUUUAUGAUCUGAUCUCAAAUCAGGUAGGACUACCAGCUGAACUUAAGC